This 1326-nucleotide long non-coding RNA is filed under the name Homo sapiens (human). RNAcentral's name for it is "HSALNT0243435". Lineage: Eukaryota; Metazoa; Chordata; Mammalia; Primates; Hominidae. The record is from RNAcentral.
UUGGUGGCCUCUAAACAGAGAAACUGGGUGGCUGGGGGCAGGGAAGGGAGAAAGGAUUUUUCAUUAUGUAUCCUUUUAUGUUUUGAAUUUUGAACCGAUUGAAAAUUUAAAAUAAUAUGAAGACAAAAAUUCAAAUGAACAAUUAAAAUAAGUUAUGAGCAUAUUUAUGACCAUAUUUAGAAAGCAGGAAAAAACAUAUUCAAGUAUGAAAAAGUGGAAGCAGGCUCUGAGUUACGCAGCAUAAAUUGACAUGUGUAUACCACUGAAAACAGAGCUAAGAUAAAAGGAUAGAUAAUUGUAAUAAAAUCAACACACAGGUUAAAAAUGUUUUCGUUAAGCAGUAUACAUUUAUACGUAUAUACUAGUGAAAACAGCUAAGAUAUAGGGAUGGAUAACUAACUGUAAUAAAGACAACCUUAACAUAUGGGUUAAAAAUGGUUUUAUAGAAUGUGUAUGAAUAUAUAAAUAAGCUAUCAUAUCAAAGACAACCUUAACAUACGGGUUAAAAAUGAUUUUAUAGAAUGUGUAUGAAUAUAUAAAUAAGCUAUCGUAUGUUAAAUAGCAAUUCAAGGCACUAGAAAGAGAAGAUGGACUACAUUUUUCAAAGCAAUUGGCUAUUAGGCAAAAAAAUAAAAAUUAUAUUUCACCCUCCAUCCUAAUGUUACAUCUCUCCUAAGGAACUAUUUAGUAAAUGUACGGAUGAAACUAAAUUCUGUGUAUACAAGUGUGAAUUGUGUAUUUUCUUAUAUUUUGUAUUUUCUUAGUCAGUAUUUUCAACUUGAGGAUAAGAGGAAAAAUGAAGGCUUUCUUAGCACAAAGUUAUAAUUUUUAGCCAAACAUGAGUAUAUAAAAUAAUCCACAAUUCUCAGAGAUAACAUUAAACUAUGUUUAACUGUAUAAGGUAACCGAUUUCUCACUCAAAUUUUUUAAUAAAUGACUUCUGCAUUAAAGUUGUUCAACAGUAAAAGAUGCUUUGACAUGCUUUUAAUUGAUUCGUUUUACACUCAGAGAGAGGAUAACAGUGAUUUGUGAAAGGAUUUUUUUUUCUGUCUUGCACACAUCUCUCAUUUGUCCAUCUUAAUUCAAUUAAAGGAAAUAAGGACAGUUUGACCGAUGAAUGAACCAUAUUUUAACCAAGGACCCUUCUAUUUAAACUGGAGUGUAUCAACCACUGUAAUUGUCAGUUGGUUACUUCCGAUCUCUAACUUUUGUUUUGAGAGGUCACGGUAUGGUCAUGGAAGACAAUAUAGUAGAAUAUGGGUAAGUAUUUAAACCAUUAGACUAGUAGCCAUUUGAAGAAAGAAAAAUUUUAAUUAUUACUACUGU